UUGAACGCUGGCGGCAGGCCUAACACAUGCAAGUCGAACGGUAACAGGAAACAGCUUGCUGUUUCGCUGACGAGUGGCGGACGGGUGAGUAAUGUCUGGGAAACUGCCUGAUGGAGGGGGAUAACUACUGGAAACGGUAGCUAAUACCGCAUAACGUCGCAAGACCAAAGAGGGGGACCUUCGGGCCUCUUGCCAUCGGAUGUGCCCAGAUGGGAUUAGCUAGUAGGUGGGGUAACGGCUCACCUAGGCGACGAUCCCUAGCUGGUCUGAGAGGAUGACCAGCCACACUGGAACUGAGACACGGUCCAGACUCCUACGGGAGGCAGCAGUGGGGAAUAUUGCACAAUGGGCGCAAGCCUGAUGCAGCCAUGCCGCGUGUAUGAAGAAGGCCUUCGGGUUGUAAAGUACUUUCAGCGGGGAGGAAGGGAGUAAAGUUAAUACCUUUACUCAUUGACGUUACCCGCAGAAGAAGCACCGGCCAACUCCGUG
Molecule: ribosomal RNA, 489 nt
Filed under: uncultured bacterium
Lineage: Bacteria
Description: partial 16S ribosomal RNA
Rfam family: Bacterial small subunit ribosomal RNA
Source: RNAcentral